AUUCCCUCUCACUUUCACUUACUCAGUCGCAAGCCCCUACUUCUCUCUUUCACUUUCUCUCUUUCUUUUAAUUUCUACUUCCGUUAACACUGACAUUCAUCAUUUCCGUUUCUUCUUUCUUUCUUUUGUGCAUUGCUGGUGCGUGGUUCAUGGCGGUGGUGGUUCGUAGUGGUGGUGGUUCAUGACGCUGCUGAUAGUGUAUUCGUGGGUCUCCAACAGCUUAUUACCGAGGAGCUGUGGCAAUCUUGCUGGUUUAUGAUGUUACUGAUGAAGCAUCUUAGAAAAACAAAAAGAAGAUGAAGAGCAUAGGAGAGAGGUAGGAGAUCGAUGUAGGAAGUAGAAGAUAAAGAGCUGCAAGACUGGUCUAAGAAGAAAAAGAUGAAGUAUAAGAGAGAAGGGCAAGUUAAAAUGUCGGAAGUACAUUAAGAAGGUGACCAUGGGAUGUUGCAAGAGAUGUUAUGGGCUUAUCAAAGCGGUGCAUGUCCAUAAACUGAAUCCAAUGGAAAACUAACUAGAACUUUUUCUUCUUGCACCUUCAUAUUGUUUUCUGCACCUCC
RNAcentral lists this small RNA (557 nucleotides) under Vigna angularis var. angularis. Its description in RNAcentral is "Non-protein coding transcript". The record is from RNAcentral. Lineage: Eukaryota; Viridiplantae; Streptophyta; Magnoliopsida; Fabales; Fabaceae.